CCGUUUCAAGGCCCACCUGGGGAACGA
RNAcentral lists this small RNA (27 nucleotides) under Bombyx mori (domestic silkworm). RNAcentral's name for it is "ovarian small RNA-13935". Lineage: Eukaryota; Metazoa; Arthropoda; Insecta; Lepidoptera; Bombycidae. The record is from RNAcentral.